AUUGAACGCUGGCGGCAGGCCUAACACAUGCAAGUCGAGCGGAUGAAGGGAGCUUGCUCCUGGAUUCAGCGGCGGACGGGUGAGUAUUGCCUAGGAAUCUGCCUGGUAGUGGGGGAUAACGUCCGGAAACGGGCGCUAAUACCGCAUACGUCCUGAGGGAGAAAGUGGGGGAUCUUCGGACCUCACGCUAUCAGAUGAGCCUAGGUCGGAUUAGCUAGUUGGUGGGGUAAAGGCCUACCAAGGCGACGAUCCGUAACUGGUCUGAGAGGAUGAUCAGUCACACUGGAACUGAGACACGGUCCAGACUCCUACGGGAGGCAGCAGUGGGGAAUAUUGGACAAUGGGCGAAAGCCUGAUCCAGCCAUGCCGCGUGUGUGAAGAAGGUCUUCGGAUUGUAAAGCACUUUAAGUUGGGAGGAAGGGCAGUAAGUUAAUACCUUGCUGUUUUGACGUUACCAACAGAAUAAGCACCGGCUAACUUCGUG
Molecule: ribosomal RNA, 484 nt
Filed under: uncultured bacterium
Lineage: Bacteria
Description: partial 16S ribosomal RNA
Rfam family: Bacterial small subunit ribosomal RNA
Source: RNAcentral